Molecule: ribosomal RNA, 2089 nt
Filed under: Escherichia coli
Lineage: Bacteria; Pseudomonadati; Pseudomonadota; Gammaproteobacteria; Enterobacterales; Enterobacteriaceae
Description: partial 23S ribosomal RNA
Rfam family: Bacterial large subunit ribosomal RNA
Source: RNAcentral
GGGUUGUGAGGUUAAGCGACUAAGCGUACACGGUGGAUGCCCUGGCAGUCAGAGGCGAUGAAGGACGUGCUAAUCUGCGAUAAGCGUCGGUAAGGUGAUAUGAACCGUUAUAACCGGCGAUUUCCGAAUGGGGAAACCCAGUGUGUUUCGACACACUAUCAUUAACUGAAUCCAUAGGUUAAUGAGGCGAACCGGGGGAACUGAAACAUCUAAGUACCCCGAGGAAAAGAAAUCAACCGAGAUUCCCCCAGUAGCGGCGAGCGAACGGGGAGCAGCCCAGAGCCUGAAUCAGUGUGUGUGUUAGUGGAAGCGUCUGGAAAGGCGCGCGAUACAGGGUGACAGCCCCGUACACAAAAAUGCACAUAUUGUGAGCUCGAUGAGUAGGGCGGGACACGUGGUAUCCUGUCUGAAUAUGGGGGGACCAUCCUCCAAGGCUAAAUACUCCUGACUGACCGAUAGUGAACCAGUACCGUGAGGGAAAGGCGAAAAGAACCCCGGCGAGGGGAGUGAAAAAGAACCUGAAACCGUGUACGUACAAGCAGUGGGAGCCUCUUUAUGGGGUGACUGCGUACCUUUUGUAUAAUGGGUCAGCGACUUAUAUUCUGUAGCAAGGUUAACCGAAUAGGGGAGCCGAAGGGAAACCGAGUCUUAACUGGGCGUUAAGUUGCAGGGUAUAGACCCGAAACCCGGUGAUCUAGCCAUGGGCAGGUUGAAGGUUGGGUAACACUAACUGGAGGACCGAACCGACUAAUGUUGAAAAAUUAGCGGAUGACUUGUGGCUGGGGGUGAAAGGCCAAUCAAACCGGGAGAUAGCUGGUUCUCCCCGAAAGCUAUUUAGGUAGCGCCUCGUGAAUUCAUCUCCGGGGGUAGAGCACUGUUUCGGCAAGGGGGUCAUCCCGACUUACCAACCCGAUGCAAACUGCGAAUACCGGAGAAUGUUAUCACGGGAGACACACGGCGGGUGCUAACGUCCGUCGUGAAGAGGGAAACAACCCAGACCGCCAGCUAAGGUCCCAAAGUCAUGGUUAAGUGGGAAACGAUGUGGGAAGGCCCAGACAGCCAGGAUGUUGGCUUAGAAGCAGCCAUCAUUUAAAGAAAGCGUAAUAGCUCACUGGUCGAGUCGGCCUGCGCGGAAGAUGUAACGGGGCUAAACCAUGCACCGAAGCUGCGGCAGCGACACUAUGUGUUGUUGGGUAGGGGAGCGUUCUGUAAGCCUGUGAAGGUGUGCUGUGAGGUAUGCUGGAGGUAUCAGAAGUGCGAAUGCUGACAUAAGUAACGAUAAAGCGGGUGAAAAGCCCGCUCGCCGGAAGACCAAGGGUUCCUGUCCAACGUUAAUCGGGGCAGGGUGAGUCGACCCCUAAGGCGAGGCCGAAAGGCGUAGUCGAUGGGAAACAGGUUAAUAUUCCUGUACUUGGUGUUACUGCGAAGGGGGGACGGAGAAGGCUAUGUUGGCCGGGCGACGGUUGUCCCGGUUUAAGCGUGUAGGCUGGUUUUCCAGGCAAAUCCGGAAAAUCAAGGCUGAGGCGUGAUGACGAGGCACUACGGUGCUGAAGCAACAAAUGCCCUGCUUCCAGGAAAAGCCUCUAAGCAUCAGGUAACAUCAAAUCGUACCCCAAACCGACACAGGUGGUCAGGUAGAGAAUACCAAGGCGCUUGAGAGAACUCGGGUGAAGGAACUAGGCAAAAUGGUGCCGUAACUUCGGGAGAAGGCACGCUGAUAUGUAGGUGAAGUCCCUUGCGGAUGGAGCUGAAAUCAGUCGAAGAUACCAGCUGGCUGCAACUGUUUAUUAAAAACACAGCACUGUGCAAACACGAAAGUGGACGUAUACGGUGUGACGCCUGCCCGGUGCCGGAAGGUUAAUUGAUGGGGUUAGCGGUAACGCGAAGCUCUUGAUCGAAGCCCCGGUAAACGGCGGCCGUAACUAUAACGGUCCUAAGGUAGCGAAAUUCCUUGUCGGGUAAGUUCCGACCUGCACGAAUGGCGUAAUGAUGGCCAGGCUGUCUCCACCCGAGACUCAGUGAAAUUGAACUCGCUGUGAAGAUGCAGUGUACCCGCGGCAAGACGGAAAGACCCCGUGAACCUUUACUA